RNAcentral lists this ribosomal RNA (510 nucleotides) under gamma proteobacterium JB. RNAcentral describes it as "bacterial SSU rRNA". It matches the Rfam family "Bacterial small subunit ribosomal RNA", at positions 1 to 522 of the family's 1533-position model. The record is from RNAcentral. Lineage: Bacteria; Pseudomonadati; Pseudomonadota; Gammaproteobacteria.
UGGAGAGUUUGAUCCUGGCUCAGAUUGAACGCUGGCGGCAGGCCUAACACAUGCAAGUCGAGCGGGGUUUUCGGACCUAGCGGCGGACGGGUGAGUAAUGCGUAGGAAGCUGCCCGAUAGAGGGGGAUACCAGUUGGAAACGACUGUUAAUACCGCAUAAUGUCUACGGACCAAAGUGUGGGACCUUCGGGCCACAUGCUAUCGGAUGCGCCUACGUGGGAUUAGCUAGUUGGUGAGGUAAUGGCUCACCAAGGCGACGAUCUCUAGCUGGUUUGAGAGGAUGAUCAGCCACACUGGAACUGAGACACGGUCCAGACUCCUACGGGAGGCAGCAGUGGGGAAUAUUGGACAAUGGGCGCAAGCCUGAUCCAGCCAUGCCGCGUGUGUGAAGAAGGCCUUCGGGUUGUAAAGCACUUUCAGCGAGGAGGAAGGGUGGUGUGUUAAUAGCACAUCAUUUUGACGUUACUCGCAGAAGAAGCACCGGCUAACUCUGUGCCAGCAGCCGCGGUA